Molecule: transfer RNA, 92 nt
Filed under: Desulfopila aestuarii DSM 18488
Lineage: Bacteria; Pseudomonadati; Thermodesulfobacteriota; Desulfobulbia; Desulfobulbales; Desulfocapsaceae
Description: Selenocysteine transfer RNA
Rfam family: Selenocysteine transfer RNA
Source: Rfam by way of RNAcentral
GGGCUGGUUAAGGGAGCCGGUGUUCCCCGCGGACUGCAAACCCGUAGAAGGUCUUGAUAGGAUCUUGGUCGGUUCAACUCCGAACCCAGCCU